GUUUCAACAUUUUAGAAUUACAGUGAUGAAAUGAGUACAUUUGAGCUUACAAGUUCUUUAGGCACCUUCUCCUUAUUCAAGUAUUUAACAUUGCUAGGAGUUGAGCUAGGUCCCAGGAGAGCAGCCAUAUUUUUUGAAGCCCUUGAUUCAUGUUUGGAUUUUACAAAAUUGGGCAAGCUGUAUGAGGGCAGCCUAGGAAAAGGAAGGGGAAGAUGUUGUUCAGACUAUGCAAAUAAGCCAGGGAUCAACAGCCAAGAAGCUAAGCAAAAUGAGCUGCUUAGUAAGAAACAGGCUUUUCAUAGAAAUGAUGUCUAAUUCAGAGGCUGGGUGCUGCCCUUCUCAGCACAAAUUCUUAACUCCUUUACUGAGAAAUUAUGCAACUGACUUAAUUCCACGUAGUUCAAGAAAAUACAGGAGGAGAUGACUCCACAUCCUGGGUGGUAUUAGUCACCUUAUCCCUCAGGAGCUCUCCUAAGUGGGCAGAACAAUGAGAACUUGUAUUUUUCCCUAAGAUCUCUGCUUAAUCACACCACCAUGCUAUCCAAAAUAUUCAUUAAAGUUAACAAAGGUGACUG
RNAcentral lists this long non-coding RNA (575 nucleotides) under Bos taurus (domestic cattle). Its description in RNAcentral is "long non-coding RNA NONBTAT006071". The record is from RNAcentral. Lineage: Eukaryota; Metazoa; Chordata; Mammalia; Artiodactyla; Bovidae.